GCUAUUAGAGAUGGAGUCUCUAACCACUACAAAUCUAAACCUCUGGAAUAACCAAUUUCAAUGACCAUCAUCACACCAAAAAUUUAUGCAUGAAAAGCAUAAAUAAUACCUAACCUCUAAGAAAAACAACCAAGAAUGGAUUAAGAGCUAUCAUAAAAUAUACCAGCACGCACAAUAACCUUUGGGCUACUAAGAGUGGCACCAUCAAUAUUACACUUGGGUGGUAUAAAUACACUUCUUUGAUCACUGGAACUUUG
This 257-nucleotide long non-coding RNA is filed under the name Lathyrus oleraceus (garden pea). RNAcentral's name for it is "Pisum sativum (pea) long non-coding RNA (PSAT_LNC027843)". Lineage: Eukaryota; Viridiplantae; Streptophyta; Magnoliopsida; Fabales; Fabaceae. The record is from RNAcentral.